GGCUUGAUAGCUCAACUGGUUGAGCACUGCACUGGUGUCACAAAGAUCAUGGGUUCAAUUCCCUUUCAAGCCU
RNAcentral lists this transfer RNA (73 nucleotides) under Acropora cervicornis. RNAcentral's name for it is "tRNA-Thr". It matches the Rfam family "tRNA". Rfam says of the family: Transfer RNA (tRNA) molecules are approximately 80 nucleotides in length. Their secondary structure includes four short double-helical elements and three loops (D, anti-codon, and T loops). The record is from RNAcentral. Lineage: Eukaryota; Metazoa; Cnidaria; Anthozoa; Scleractinia; Acroporidae.